AGCAAACUAACAAGUCACAAAGGCACAGCAUCGUUUGUUGGUGGAAGUUUGUUAUUUUGUAAAAAUAGACUGAUAGUGUGAAUGACUUAUUUAGAAAUUUUCUAGGUAAUUUAGCAAUAAGUAAUUUAGACACUACAAAUCCUGUUUAUAUUGAAACUUCUGGUACAUAGAUAGAGCCAAGUAGGACAAAAACAUUUAUUUAUUUAUACCUGUAACACAUAAAUAGAAAAACAUUCACUAUCUUCAUAUAGCAGAAUGAAUGGCAAGGGUGUCCCAGUGUUUUAGUAGAGAGAAAGAAGACACUAUCCAGAGUUAUCACUAAUGAGUAGGAGUGAUACAGGAAUUUAAAAUUAAGCCCACAUCAUGCAGCAAUAUUUGGCGUCAUAAGCACAAUUCUGCUACUCUCUGAGAUGCUUCCAUGUCGUGCCUGGUCCAAAAUGUGCUCCUAAUGACGGAGCCACCUAAAGAGCAUCACGUUACCUACCGCCUCCUCUCCACCCAGUAACCACUGCUGUACUUCAAAGACGAGGAGGGCUAUGUAUUUUGCAUUCAUUGUGAAGUCAUUCACUCAAAUCUCCAUCUGCUGAAAUGAUGGCAACUUCCUCAGUCAGGGCAGAACCCCAGUUUGACAACAAGGCGUGUGUAUCCAUAGAUCUCUCUCUCUGUGCUACCGAAUGAGGGUUCUACACUGAGGCCGUCAAUUUGUUGUCCAAACAUUCCCAGAGAAGCAGCCUCAGAGACACCAGGCAUGGCCCAUCAGCACCCUCCUCAGAGACCUGAGUUCAGCAUUGUGGGAGCCCCUCCAAGCUCCUGAGACACCAGCACCAUCUGGCAAACACUCCGUUUCAGAUGUCUGGGUCUUACCUCUCAGGAAACAGAGCGACCUCAGGGCAAGGGACCACGAGAAAUGAAGACAUUCCCUAGGUAUCUGAGAGCUGGCAAUCAAAAGCUGAUGGAGGAUGCUUCAGUAUUUCAACUAUAUGCAAGAACUGAUCAAGACGCCAUAAAGUGCAACUUGGAGCAACUGCAGACCAUGAAAUCGAAUAUUUUCUACAAAUAACAAUAAAGAAAUGAAAUAUAGCAUGCGGAAGGGUGUAGGAACAUAAAACUGCAUGGACAAAGAAGAGAAUCCGUGGAUCACGCAGAAACAAUAUAAGAGACAAAAGUGGAACUUCUGCAGUCCCAGCUACUCAGAAGGCUGACGCAGGAGGAUCGCUUGAGCCCAGGAGUUUGAGCCUGCAGCGAGCUAUGUUCAUACCACUGCACCCCAGCCUGAGUGACAGAGUAAAACCCUGUCUCUAAAAAAGAAAAAAAAAAGUAGAACCCAUAGGAAGCAGGUCAAAGGAAUAAAGGAAUUCCCAUGUUAUUAUUUGUUGUUGUUGUUAAAAACAUAUUGAGUGAAUGAAAGCAGACACACAUAACCAUAUACUGAUUGAUUCUAUUUAUAUGAAGUUCAUAAAUCAACAAAGCAAAUCUAUAGUUAUAGAACUGAGAAAGGGUUUAGGUAUGGGAAGUGGGAGGAAGUGGCAGGAAAAGGGCAUAAGACAACUUAUAUGGUGAUAAAUACUCUCCCG
This 1574-nucleotide long non-coding RNA is filed under the name Homo sapiens (human). RNAcentral describes it as "HSALNT0252403". Lineage: Eukaryota; Metazoa; Chordata; Mammalia; Primates; Hominidae. The record is from RNAcentral.